CCUACGGGGGGCAGCAGUGGGGAAUAUUGGACAAUGGGGGGAACCCUGAUCCAGCCAUGCCGCGUGUGUGAAGAAGGCCCUCGGGUUGUAAAGCACUUUCAGUGAGGAAGAACGCCUGGUGGUUAAUACCCAUCAGGAAAGACAUCACUCACAGAAGAAGCACCGGCUAACUCCGUGCCAGCAGCCGCGGUAAUACGGAGGGUGCGGGCGUUAAUCGGAAUUACUGGGCGUAAAGCGCGCGUAGGUGGCUUGAUAAGCCGGUUGUGAAAGCCCCGGGCUCAACCUGGGAACGGCAUCCGGAACUGUCAAGCUAGAGUGCAGGAGAGGAAGGUAGAAUUCCCGGUGUAGCGGUGAAAUGCGUAGAGAUCGGGAGGAAUACCAGUGGCGAAGGCGGCCUUCUGGACUGACACUGACACUGAGGUGCGAAAGCGUGGGUAGCAAACAGGAUUAGAUACCCUUGUAGUC
This 465-nucleotide ribosomal RNA is filed under the name Vreelandella stevensii. Its description in RNAcentral is "partial 16S ribosomal RNA". It matches the Rfam family "Bacterial small subunit ribosomal RNA", at positions 338 to 795 of the family's 1533-position model. Lineage: Bacteria; Pseudomonadati; Pseudomonadota; Gammaproteobacteria; Oceanospirillales; Halomonadaceae. The record is from RNAcentral.